CCAAGCAAGAAUACUGGAGGAGGUUAACAUUUCCUUCUCCAGAGGAUCUUCCCGACUCAGAGAUGGAACCCAUGUCCUCUGCACUGCAGGCAGAUUCUUUACUACUGAGCCACCAGGGAAGCCCUAAGGGACACGGCUCUGGACAACGCGCUUCUGAGAUGCAGACAGGCUUGCUGGCCUGUGACUGGGAUGUGAAACAGGCUGGCCGCUGUGUCCAGUGUAGAGGGUUCAGAUUUCCUGGAUCAAAUGUUCCCAAGGCCCGUGAGGUCAUGUGGUUUCAGAGACAUAAGCUAAGCUCGGUGUGUAUUACAGAGAAGCCAUCGCAUCCGGGUGUGACCAUU
This is a long non-coding RNA of Dama dama (fallow deer), 341 nucleotides long. RefSeq lists it as uncharacterized. NCBI's taxonomy places the organism in Eukaryota, Metazoa, Chordata, Mammalia, Artiodactyla, Cervidae. The record is from RefSeq and is a predicted model, not a curated record. The transcript has 3 exons.